Molecule: ribosomal RNA, 492 nt
Filed under: uncultured bacterium
Lineage: Bacteria
Description: partial 16S ribosomal RNA
Rfam family: Bacterial small subunit ribosomal RNA
Source: RNAcentral
AGUGAACGCUGGCGGUAGGCCUAACACAUGCAAGUCGAACGGCAGCACAGUAAGAGCUUGCUCUUACGGGUGGCGAGUGGCGGACGGGUGAGGAAUACAUCGGAAUCUACUUUUUCGUGGGGGAUAACGUAUGGAAACUUACGCUAAUACCGCAUACGACCUACGGGUGAAAGCAGGGGAUCUUCGGACCUUGCGCGAUUGAAUGAGCCGAUGUCGGAUUAGCUAGUUGGCGGGGUAAAGGCCCACCAAGGCGACGAUCCGUAGCUGGUCUGAGAGGAUGAUAAGCCACACUGGAACUGAGACACGGUCCAGACUCCUACGGGAGGCAGCAGUGGGGAAUAUUGGACAAUGGGCGCAAGCCUGAUCCAGCCAUACCGCGUGGGUGAAGAAGGCCUUCGGGUUGUAAAGCCCUUUUGUUGGGAAAGAAAAGCAGCAGGUUAAUACCCCGCUGUUCUGACGGUACCCAAAGAAUAAGCACCGGCUAACUUCGUG